RNAcentral lists this ribosomal RNA (497 nucleotides) under uncultured bacterium. RNAcentral describes it as "partial 16S ribosomal RNA". It matches the Rfam family "Bacterial small subunit ribosomal RNA", at positions 28 to 507 of the family's 1533-position model. The record is from RNAcentral.
GAUGAACGCUGGCGGCGUGCCUAAUACAUGCAAGUCGAGCGAACGGACGAGAAGCUUGCUUCUCUGAUGUUAGCGGCGGACGGGUGAGUAACACGUGGAUAACCUACCUAUAAGACUGGGAUAACUUCGGGAAACCGGAGCUAAUACCGGAUGAUAUUUUGAACCGCAUGGUUCAAAAGUGAAAGACGGUCUUGCUGUCACUUAUAGAUGGAUCCGCGCUGCAUUAGCUAGUUGGUAAGGUAACGGCUUACCAAGGCAACGAUGCAUAGCCGACCUGAGAGGGUGAUCGGCCACACUGCAACUGAGACACGGUCCAGACUCCUACGGGAGGCAGCAGUAGGGAAUCUUCCGCAAUGGGCGAAAGCCUGACGGAGCAACGCCGCGUGAGUGAUGAAGGUCUUCGGAUCGUAAAACUCUGUUAUUAGGGAAGAACAUAUGUGUAAGUAACUGUGCACAUCUUGACGGUACCUAAUCAGAAAGCCACGGCUAACUACGUG